UACGGAGGGUGCAAGCGUUAUCCGGAUUCACUGGGUUUAAAGGGUGCGUAGGUGGGUUGGUAAGUCAGUGGUGAAAUCCCCGAGCUUAACUUGGGAACUGCCAUUGAUACUAUCAGUCUUGAAUACCGUGGAGGUCAGCGGAAUAUGUCAUGUAGCGGUGAAAUGCUUAGAUAUGACAUAGAACACCAAUUGCGAAGGCAGCUGGCUACACGAAUAUUGACUCUGAGGCACGAAAGCGUGGGGAUCAAACAGG
RNAcentral lists this ribosomal RNA (253 nucleotides) under uncultured bacterium. Its description in RNAcentral is "partial 16S ribosomal RNA". It matches the Rfam family "Bacterial small subunit ribosomal RNA", at positions 524 to 776 of the family's 1533-position model. The record is from RNAcentral.